This 673-nucleotide ribosomal RNA is filed under the name Pediococcus acidilactici. Its description in RNAcentral is "bacterial SSU rRNA". It matches the Rfam family "Bacterial small subunit ribosomal RNA", at positions 81 to 741 of the family's 1533-position model. The record is from RNAcentral. Lineage: Bacteria; Bacillati; Bacillota; Bacilli; Lactobacillales; Lactobacillaceae.
UUAACACGAAGUGAGUGGCGGACGGGUGAGUAACACGUGGGUAACCUGCCCAGAAGCAGGGGAUAACACCUGGAAACAGAUGCUAAUACCGUAUAACAGAGAAAACCGCCUGGUUUUCUUUUAAAAGAUGGCUCUGCUAUCACUUCUGGAUGGACCCGCGGCGCAUUAGCUAGUUGGUGAGGUAACGGCUCACCAAGGCGAUGAUGCGUAGCCGACCUGAGAGGGUAAUCGGCCACAUUGGGACUGAGACACGGCCCAGACUCCUACGGGAGGCAGCAGUAGGGAAUCUUCCACAAUGGACGCAAGUCUGAUGGAGCAACGCCGCGUGAGUGAAGAAGGGUUUCGGCUCGUAAAGCUCUGUUGUUAAAGAAGAACGUGGGUGAGAGUAACUGUUCACCCAGUGACGGUAUUUAACCAGAAAGCCACGGCUAACUACGUGCCAGCAGCCGCGGUAAUACGUAGGUGGCAAGCGUUAUCCGGAUUUAUUGGGCGUAAAGCGAGCGCAGGCGGUCUUUUAAGUCUAAUGUGAAAGCCUUCGGCUCAACCGAAGAAGUGCAUUGGAAACUGGGAGACUUGAGUGCAGAAGAGGACAGUGGAACUCCAUGUGUAGCGGUGAAAUGCGUAGAUAUAUGGAAGAACACCAGUGGCGAAGGCGGCUGUCUGGUCUGUAACU